UGGGGAAUAUUGCACAAUGGGGGAAACCCUGAUGCAGCGACGCCGCGUGAACGAAGAAGGUAUUCGUAUCGUAAAGUUCUGUCCUAUGGGAAGAUAAUGACAGUACCAUAGAAGAAAGCUCCGGCUAAAUACGUGCCAGCAGCCGCGGUAAUACGUAUGGAGCGAGCGUUGUCCGGAAUUAUUGGGCGUAAAGGGUACGCAGGCGGUUUAAUAAGUCGAAUGUUAAAGAUCGGGGCUCAACCCCGCAAAGCAUUGGAAACUGAUAAACUUGAGUAGUGGAGAGGAAAGUGGAAUUCCUAGUGUAGUGGUGAAAUACGUAGAUAUUAGGAGGAAUACCAGUAGCGAAGGCGACUUUCUGGACACAAACUGACGCUGAGGUACGAAAGCGUGGGGAGCACACAGG
RNAcentral lists this ribosomal RNA (403 nucleotides) under bacterium. RNAcentral describes it as "partial 16S ribosomal RNA". It matches the Rfam family "Bacterial small subunit ribosomal RNA", at positions 355 to 776 of the family's 1533-position model. The record is from RNAcentral.